AGUCUCCCGCGAUUCCCAGUUAGCCUGAGGAAUAAAAGAUGGUCACCUCGUACCCAGCUCGCUGCACGGAUCAGAUUCAGAGUGAAACUGAGAAGUGAUUUUCACGUGGACUACAUGAUCUCUCUCAACAUGAGUUGAGAGAGUUGAAGAGAAGGGGGUGGCUUGGUGGGUUUGGAUGGGCAUAGCAGUUGCUCUUUCAUUCUCCAGCAAAUACACAGAAGUGCAAACUAUUUGCAGCACUGCCCUGACCACCUCGGAGUUGCCACAUGAAGGUGUCGGUGCUCACAAACUGGAAUGAGCCUGUGGCCUUGCUUUCUAGAUCCGCAUGGAACAGUUGGCUGAAGAACCCCUGCCCCAGAAGACUAAUGUUAGAAAUAAGAGAAAAAGUGCACAUAAAACAGACUCUAUGAAGGAUUACCGAGCUUCGUGAGG
This is a long non-coding RNA of Octodon degus (degu), 432 nucleotides long. RefSeq lists it as uncharacterized. The transcript has 3 exons. The record is from RefSeq and is a predicted model, not a curated record. NCBI's taxonomy places the organism in Eukaryota, Metazoa, Chordata, Mammalia, Rodentia, Octodontidae.